AGCAGCCGCGGUAAUUCCAGCUCCAAUAGCGUAUAUUAAAGUUGUUGCAGUUAAAAAGCUCGUAGUUGAAUUUCGGGAUCAGUAGGUUGGUCAUGCCACUGGUAUGUACUGGUCUCACUGAUUCCUCCUUCCUGAUGAACCGUAAUGCCAUUAAUUUGGUGUUGCGGGGAGACUGGACUGUUACUUUGAAAAAAUUAGAGUGUUUAAAGCAGGCUAACGCUUGAAUACAUUAGCAUGGAAUAAUGAAAUAGGACGUUCGAUCCUAUUUUGUUGGUUUCUAGGAUUGACGUAAUGAUUAAUAGGGAUAGUUGGGGGCAUUAGUAUUCAAUUGUCAGAGGUGAAAUUCUUGGAUUUAUUGAAGACUAACUACUGCGAAAGCAUUUGCCAAGGAUGUUUUCAUUAAUCAAGAACGAAAGUUAGGGGAUCGAAGACGGUCAGAUACCGUCGUAGUCUUAACCAUAAACUAUGCCGACUAGGGAUCGGAUGAUGUUAAUUUUAUAAUGACUCAUUC
This 511-nucleotide ribosomal RNA is filed under the name uncultured Glomus. Its description in RNAcentral is "SSU rRNA". It matches the Rfam family "Eukaryotic small subunit ribosomal RNA", at positions 569 to 1081 of the family's 1831-position model. The record is from RNAcentral. Lineage: Eukaryota; Fungi; Glomeromycota; Glomeromycetes; Glomerales; Glomeraceae.